Molecule: long non-coding RNA, 150 nt
Organism: Mobula hypostoma (lesser devil ray)
Lineage: Eukaryota; Metazoa; Chordata; Chondrichthyes; Myliobatiformes; Myliobatidae
Exons: 3
Source: RefSeq, a predicted model, not a curated record
CGGUUACAGGGAGAAUGUACAAACUCCUUAAAGGAGUUACCUUCAAUGGGACGCAAGUUCAGCGAUUAGUUGUGAGAUCAUGAUAACAGAAAGGCAAAGCUCAUGCUACGUUAAUGGGCAGUGGUCCCCAACCAUCGGGCCACGGACCAG